UAGACUUGCUCUACAUGUCGGGCUCCCUGCACUUUGGUGCGGCCAACCGACAUGGGGCUGUCUCUUCACUYUCCCUCCCGUCAUUGAAUUUGUCGGGGUUGGGAUGCUUGUGAUCGGUUGCCUGUGUGGUUCUACCCUCUUGUGGGUAGCGAAGUUGUCCCUUGAUGGAUAUUUUGCUUGCCCAGCUGACAUUGUUUUGUCGCUUGGUCAGCCGAAAUGUUGGCAAAAUCCUUGUGUUGUUGCGUGGUUGAAUUCCUUGUUGAUAUCACUCGGAUUUUUGCCGGCUCUCACGGAUGCGGUGCCUAUUGCUAGCUCUGCGGGCCUCUGUCCCGUAGACUUCGGGAGGUCCCUUGUACGGGAACAUUGCUCUUGCGUGCGUUUGUCGUGUUGCCUGCGGUGACACGCGAAUUAAGUUUUGGCCUUGUUGUCAGUGGCGACACGUCAAAACUGUGUGUGCGGAGCAUGAUCACGUGCUUGUGGAAUGCCUCUCUGUUUUAUGAGCAGCGAUUUCUGGUUGCGUCAUGCGAAGGCCCGCCCGUCCGGGUGGUGCUGGAGCUAACGUACCGGCUCUCGUUUAAGACGUGC
RNAcentral lists this unclassified non-coding RNA (585 nucleotides) under Carex siderosticta. RNAcentral's name for it is "partial external transcribed spacer 1". The record is from RNAcentral. Lineage: Eukaryota; Viridiplantae; Streptophyta; Magnoliopsida; Poales; Cyperaceae.